AUGUCACACUGGCAAAGGGCUUUACUCAUCUGUAUUGCGUUCUGCUUAGUGAUCAGAGCUAAAGACACUGUCCAUCAGUCAGAAAGCAUGAUAAGCUCUGAUGGCAGAAUGAUGACCCUUAACUGCACGUAUACCUCUACUGAUGCUAACCCGUAUCUGUUCUGGUACAUCCAACGAGGAAAGGAAUCCCCCAAAUACAUACUGAGAAAGGACAAGUACACUGAAGAGAACAGCAAAGAGUUCACGGAUAGAUUUAAUGCCAGUCUCAUCACAACAGAUGCAACAAAAACCUUUCCUCUGACAAUUCAAAACCUCCAUGUGACUGACUCUGCUGUGUACUACUGUGCUCUGAGGCCCACACUGAUCAUAAGAGGCUCUGCUGUCAUACAAAAACCUGGAGUUUUGGGAAAGCAAAAGAGCUGA
Myxocyprinus asiaticus (Chinese sucker) is the source of this 423-nucleotide non-coding RNA. The record is from the annotation of a RefSeq genome assembly. Lineage: Eukaryota; Metazoa; Chordata; Actinopteri; Cypriniformes; Catostomidae.